GUACGAUAACGGCAAACCCGCCGAAAGGCGGCGACGCAAAGCCAUGGGUCUAACUUCCUUGACGGGAACACGAUUGCCAGGCUGCCGAA
RNAcentral lists this non-coding RNA (89 nucleotides) under Paenibacillus sp. RNAcentral describes it as "c-di-GMP sequence". It matches the Rfam family "c-di-GMP-I riboswitch aptamer". Rfam says of the family: GEMM was predicted in a large-scale screen for bacterial structured RNA regulatory elements. Genes associated with GEMM are involved in a diverse array of functions, including chemotaxis regulation, signal transduction, secretion and chitin. The record is from RNAcentral. Lineage: Bacteria; Bacillati; Bacillota; Bacilli; Caryophanales; Paenibacillaceae.